UACGGGGGGGGCAAGCGUUGUUCGGAAUUACUGGGCGUAAAGGGCGCGUAGGCGGUGCUCUAAGUUAGAUGUGAAAACUCUGGGCUCAACCCAGAGCCUGCAUCUAAAACUGGAGUGCUAGAGUUCUGGAGGGGGUAGCGGAAUUCCUGGUGUAGCGGUGAAAUGCGUAGAUAUCGAGAGGAACACCUGCGGCGAAGGCGGGUUGCUGGGCCGACACUGACGCUGAUGCGCGAAAGCCAGGGGAGCGAACGGG
Molecule: ribosomal RNA, 253 nt
Filed under: uncultured prokaryote
Description: partial 16S ribosomal RNA
Rfam family: Bacterial small subunit ribosomal RNA
Source: RNAcentral